RNAcentral lists this transfer RNA (75 nucleotides) under Thermoflexales bacterium. Its description in RNAcentral is "tRNA-Asn". It matches the Rfam family "tRNA". From Rfam's summary of the family: Transfer RNA (tRNA) molecules are approximately 80 nucleotides in length. Their secondary structure includes four short double-helical elements and three loops (D, anti-codon, and T loops). Lineage: Bacteria; Bacillati; Chloroflexota; Thermoflexia; Thermoflexales. The record is from RNAcentral.
UGAUCCGUGGCCUAACAGGCAGGACGCUCGACUGUUAAUCGAGACGGUGCAAGUUCGAAUCUUGCCGGAUCAGCC